GAUGAACGCUGGCGGCGUGCCUAACACAUGCAAGUCGAGCGAGGGUUUGCUCAGUAUUGAGUAUUCUAAGUCUAGAAUGUUCAAUUCUGAGCAAAACCAAGCGGCGGACGGGUGAGUAACGCGUGGGUAACCUGCCCUAUACACAUGGAUAACAUACUGAAAAGUUUACUAAUACAUGAUAAUAUAUAUUUGCGGCAUCGCAGAUAUAUCAAAGUGUUAGCGGUAUAGGAUGGACCCGCGUCUGAUUAGCUAGUUGGUGAGAUAACUGCCCACCAAGGCGACGAUCAGUAGCCGACCUGAGAGGGUGCUCGGCCACAUUGGAACUGAGACACGGUCCAAACUCCUACGGGAGGCAGCAGUGGGGAAUAUUGCACAAUGGGCGAAAGCCUGAUGCAGCAACGCCGCGUGAACGAUGAAGGUCUUCGGAUCGUAAAGUUCUGUUGCAGGGGAAGAUAAUGACGGUACCCUGUGAGGAAGCCCCGGCUAACUACGUGCCAGCAGCCGCGGUAAUACGUAGGGGGCUAGCGUUAUCCGGAUUUACUGGGCGUAAAGGGUGCGUAGGUGGUCCUUCAAGUCGGUGGUUAAAGGCUACGGCUCAACCGUAGUAAGCCGCCGAAACUGGAGAACUUGAGUGCAGGAGAGGAAAGUGGAAUUCCCAGUGUAGCGGUGAAAUGCGUAGAUAUUGGGAGGAACACCAGUAGCGAAGGCGGCUUUCUGGACUGCAACUGACACUGAGGCACGAAAGCGUGGGUAGCAAACAGG
Molecule: ribosomal RNA, 762 nt
Filed under: uncultured Peptostreptococcus sp.
Lineage: Bacteria; Bacillati; Bacillota; Clostridia; Peptostreptococcales; Peptostreptococcaceae
Description: bacterial SSU rRNA
Rfam family: Bacterial small subunit ribosomal RNA
Source: RNAcentral